UAACACGUAGGGGGCGAGCGUUGUCCGGAUUUAUUGGGCGUAAAGAGCUCGUAGGCGGUUUGGCAAGUCGGGUGUGAAAUUUCGAGGCUCAACCUCGAAACGCCACUCGAUACUGCCAUGACUGGAGUCCGGUAGAGGAGUGCGGAAUUCCUGGUGUAGCGGUGAAAUGCGCAGAUAUCAGGAGGAACACCAACGGCGAAGGCAGCACUCUGGGCCGGUACUGACGCUGAGGAGCGAAAGCGUGGGGAGCAAACAGGAUUAGAUACCCUGGUAGUCCACGCCGUAAACGUUGGGCACUAGGUGUGGGGGGCUGUCAACGCCCUCCGUGCCGUAGCUAACGCAUUAAGUGCCCCGCCUGGGGAGUACGGCCGCAAGGCUAAAACUCAAAUGAAUUGACGG
Molecule: ribosomal RNA, 399 nt
Filed under: uncultured bacterium
Lineage: Bacteria
Description: bacterial SSU rRNA
Rfam family: Bacterial small subunit ribosomal RNA
Source: RNAcentral